CAAUAGCGUAUAUUAAAGUUGUUGCAGUUAAAAAGCUCGUAGUUGGAUUUCUGGAUGGAGCGACCGGUCGGGCAUUAAUUUGUCUGCACUGGAGUCGGUUCCGUCCAUCCUCUUGGAAAGUGCGUGGGGCAUUAAGUUGUCUGGCGUAUGAUCCAAGUCGUUUACUGUGAAAAAAUUAGAGUGUUUAAAGCAGGCCUUCGCCUUGAAUACAUUAGCAUGGAAUAAUAAGAUAGGACUUUGGUCUAUUUUGUUGGUUUGCAGACCGAAGUAAUGAUUAAUAGGGAUAGUUGGGGGUAUUUAUAUUCCGAUGUCAGAGGUGAAAUUCUUAGAUUUUCGGAAGAUAAACUUAUGCGAAANCANNNACCAAGGAUGGUUUCAUNAA
Molecule: ribosomal RNA, 382 nt
Filed under: uncultured eukaryote
Lineage: Eukaryota
Description: partial 18S ribosomal RNA
Rfam family: Eukaryotic small subunit ribosomal RNA
Source: RNAcentral